GUUUUGACCCCAGUUGUCAAUUAUGUAAACCCCUCCCCUUAUUCCCGAACCUUCCCUGCCCGUCACCCCGGCCUGCCCUAAUCCCCCUAUCCAUCAUUGUAAACCCGACCCUUUCUUCCAGAACCUUCCAUGCUCCUCACCCCUACUUCGGUUCGCGAUUGGUUCCCUAGUUGCCGUCCCGCCCAUGACAUGUCCCUGUUGGUCACCAGUAGUGUAACCGCCUCCCCUCACUCCUCCUCCCCUGAUCCCUCAUUGGACCCUGAGUUGUACCCUCCCCUGGGGCUCAAGCGGUAUAUAACCUUGUGCACAGCUGUGUUGGGGGCUCUCCUUCCUCGUCGGGUUGUGAGUUGCAGGGAGUCAGGCUAGCCUGCCUUCCUACUCCUGUUGGUAUUUUUGCCAUCGAAUAAAGGUUUGGCUACUUCUUUUAACAUCCAGAAGAGUCCAGACCCUUGGGGUUUUUUUGACAGCAGGGCUUUUGGCAGCAGUGGCCGGGAGCAGCAAAGGUCGCGCCAGGGAAAAGGAAAUAAUUUACCACAGGAGAUGCUGAAAUACUAGAUAUGAACACUAAUAGCUGUAGUCACAUCAGAGGCAUAUGUGCCAUUUAAUAGCAAGUCUGAAUCCCAUCAUUCAUUUGAACAUUGCAGAUUUUCAACAAGCAAGGUCUGCAUUUGGAAAGGUGUUUUCUGUUGCUUUUAUUGUGUCAUGAUGGGAAUUAAUGAGGACAGGAUGCUUCAGAAAAAAGAGCACGUUGGAGAGGAGGAGUAGCUGGUUGUCACUGAUUCUGGCACAUUGUUUGGAGUGUAAUGACACAGGGAUGUUUAAUUUCAUCCCUCACCUUAGUGAGGAACUUGUAUCCAUCAGAAAAAUGUAUCCUGUCUUCAUGGCAACCUGUUAAUCCUCCUGUGUACACAGCCUUUGUUCCCGUUCUUUGCUGCCCCAGGAGCUGUUCUGUAGCUGUGCCUGUGCGCUGGGAGGAGUGCGUGCAUGCACCAGCGUGUACAGAGCAGCUGUUUGAAAUCACGAGUGUUAAAGAGCUCAAGUUCCUCCUUAAGGAAGAACCUGCAAGACCCAAACACUUCGGAGCUCCUACUGGUAUCCUGUGCCACGGGGAUUCACAGAGAUUCCUUCUCCCAAUGGACCAGAAUGUUUGCAUGUGUUUGUGAUUAGAAGUAUUAAAGUGCAAGCUGCUCUGUGUUUGUCCUUGUACAUUCAUGGUACACCUGCUUCUUGCUUUUUCCUGUCUUUUCUCCAGAUUUACUGUUACUUUUUUCCACUGGGUAGCUAAUUGUAAAAAGUAAAUUACUAAAAGCCUGUAGAGCCUUCGGGAACCCAUUAAAAGCCUUGCUUCCCUGAUGAGGAUUUUCUGCUACAACUUUCAACUGAGAUUUGUCACUUAAUUGGUUUUAAAUUUGAUUAGUGCGUGAUAUGUGUUUUUUUCAUUUCAAGUUCUCAGUCAAUGUUUCUGGAAGUACCAAGUCUAAUUUAUCCACAUACAAUUCUAGCCACAUCAAGCAAUUUACUUUUUAAUAUGAACUUUUAAUCUCAUCAAGUCAGUUAAGAUGCUUUUCCCGUAAAUGCGUCCUGGUUGGCAUUAAUUAUGUUACCAUGCUUUAAUUCUUUGUUUAUGAAGAUUUAACUAGAUUGCAGUUUAUUCGUGUAAACUGUUUCACAGAGUGAAAAAGUA
This is a non-coding RNA of Cyanistes caeruleus (blue tit), 1684 nucleotides long. Lineage: Eukaryota; Metazoa; Chordata; Aves; Passeriformes; Paridae. The record is from RefSeq and is a predicted model, not a curated record.